Molecule: small RNA, 120 nt
Filed under: Parus major (Great Tit)
Lineage: Eukaryota; Metazoa; Chordata; Aves; Passeriformes; Paridae
Description: TUC338 (ENSPMJG00000016872.1)
Source: RNAcentral
UUAUUUAUUCAUAGAACAUGUACAGCACAGGAAGCUGAACUGAAAGCUUACUCCACGGCUUCUUGCCAAUGGUCCUGCUCCCUACCCAGGAAGAAUGUUGGAUAUUUUCAGAAAUAAGAA